This 476-nucleotide ribosomal RNA is filed under the name uncultured bacterium. Its description in RNAcentral is "bacterial SSU rRNA". It matches the Rfam family "Bacterial small subunit ribosomal RNA", at positions 28 to 525 of the family's 1533-position model. The record is from RNAcentral.
GACGAACGCUGGCGGCGUGCUUAACACAUGCAAGUCGAGCGGUAAGGCCCUUUCGGGGGUACACGAGCGGCGAACGGGUGAGUAACACGUGGGUGACCUGCCCUCAGCUCUGGGAUAAGCCUGGGAAACUGGGUCUAAUACUGGAUAUGACUCCACGGUGCAUGUCGUGGGGUGGAAAGCCUUGUGCGGCUGAGGAUGGGCCCGCGGCCUAUCAGCUUGUUGGUGGGGGAUGGCCUACCAAGGCGACGACGGGUAGCCGGCCUGAGAGGGCGACCGGCCACACUGGGACUGAGACACGGCCCAGACUCCUACGGGAGGCAGCAGUGGGGAAUAUUGGACAAUGGGCGAAAGCCUGAUCCAGCCAUGCCGCGUGAGUGAUGAAGGCCUUAGGGUGUAAAGCUCUUUUACCCGGAAGAUAAUGACGAUACCGGGAGAAUAACGCCCCGGCUAACUUCGUGCCAGCCGCCGCAGUAAAU